This 257-nucleotide ribosomal RNA is filed under the name uncultured bacterium. RNAcentral describes it as "partial 16S ribosomal RNA". It matches the Rfam family "Bacterial small subunit ribosomal RNA", at positions 332 to 607 of the family's 1533-position model. The record is from RNAcentral.
UAUGCCCUACGGGAGGCAGCAGUGGGGAAUAUUGCACAAUGGGGGAAACCCUGAUGCAGCGACGCCGCGUGAAGGAAGAAGUAUUUCGGUAUGUAAACUUCUAUCAGCAGGGAAGAAAAUGACGGUACCUGACUAAGAAGCCCCGGCUAACUACGUGCCAGCAGCCGCGGUAAUACGUAGGGGGCAAGCGUUAUCCGGAUUUACUGGGUGUAAAGGGAGCGUAGGCGGGUCAGCAAGUCAGAAGGGAAAGCCCGGGG